Molecule: small nuclear RNA, 107 nt
Filed under: Catagonus wagneri (Chacoan peccary)
Lineage: Eukaryota; Metazoa; Chordata; Mammalia; Artiodactyla; Tayassuidae
Source: RNAcentral
GUGCUCGCUUCGGCAGCACAUAUACUAAAAUUGGAACGAUACAGAGAAGAUUAGCAUGGCCCCUGCGCAAGGAUAAAAUCUACUUUCCAGCAGUCUGCAGAAUCAUU